This 906-nucleotide ribosomal RNA is filed under the name uncultured bacterium. RNAcentral describes it as "bacterial SSU rRNA". It matches the Rfam family "Bacterial small subunit ribosomal RNA", at positions 26 to 901 of the family's 1533-position model. The record is from RNAcentral.
AGAACGAACGCUGGCGGCGUGCUUAACACAUGCAAGUCGAACGAGAAGUACGGGUAGCAAUACCUGUAUUGUAAAGUGGCGCACGGGUGAGUAACACGUGGGUAAUCUGCCCUCGAGUUUGGGAUAACCCCGCGAAAGCGGGGCUAAUACCGAAUAAGACCACGGGGACCAAAGUCCCUGAGGUAAAAGAUGGCCUCUAUUUAUAAGCUAUCACUUGAGGAUGAGCCCGCGGCCCAUUAGCUAGUUGGUAGGGUAACGGCCUACCAAGGCUAUGAUGGGUAGCUGGUCUGAGAGGACGAUCAGCCACACUGGAACUGAGACACGGUCCAGACUCCUACGGGAGGCAGCAGUGGGGAAUAUUGCGCAAUGGGCGAAAGCCUGACGCAGCAACGCCGCGUGGGGGAUGAAGGUUUUCGGAUUGUAAACCCCUUUCGACCGGAACGAAUCUCCUCCUGGUAAAUAAUCAGGAGGAUCGACGGUACCGGGAGAAGAAGCCACGGCUAACUCUGUGCCAGCAGCCGCGGUAAGACAGAGGUGGCGAGCGUUGUUCGGAUUUAUUGGGCGUAAAGCGAACGCAGGUGGUUUGGUAAGUCAGGGGUGAAAGCCCACAGCUUAACUGUGGCACUGCCUUUGAUACUGCCUUUCUUGAGUGCAUGAGGGGGAAGCGGAAUUCCGAGUGUAGAGGUGAAAUUCGUAGAUAUUCGGAGGAACACCGGUGGCGAAGGCGGCUUCCUGGCAUGUAACUGACACUCAUGUUCGAAAGCGUGGGUAGCAAACAGGAUUAGAUACCCUGGUAGUCCACGCCCUAAACGAUGGGCACUAGGUGUGGGAGGUAUCGACCCCUUCCGUGCCGCAGCUAACGCAUUAAGUGCCCCGCCUGGGGAGUACGGCCGCAAGGGUGAAACU